UGGAAGCUGCUCUAAGUGUCUUCUUCAGAAGUUUUUGUGUCAUUUUCUUCAGUUGUUCUUGGUGUAGCGCUACCACAGGUGAGGACGGGAACAUGUUUUUCAAAGGGUUUGGUUGGUUUGACACAGUGCAGUGUGAAAGCGAACCGCAGCAGCUGAAAAUGUAACACAUGUUGCCAUUUUGGUCCUCAAUUGAAUCAAGUCUACUAGACUAUCAGGUGUAAAAACAACUUCAGAAACGGUAAGAAUUUUGUUGAUCU
Long non-coding RNA from Xiphophorus hellerii (green swordtail), 257 nucleotides. RefSeq lists it as uncharacterized. The transcript is spliced from 3 exons. The record is from RefSeq and is a predicted model, not a curated record. Lineage: Eukaryota; Metazoa; Chordata; Actinopteri; Cyprinodontiformes; Poeciliidae.